Molecule: RNA transcript, 3303 nt
Organism: Prinia subflava (tawny-flanked prinia)
Lineage: Eukaryota; Metazoa; Chordata; Aves; Passeriformes; Cisticolidae
Exons: 3
Source: RefSeq, a predicted model, not a curated record
UGGGAAGGGAAGGGAGGUGACGCAGGGACUGAUCCCAGUAAUCACUUCCAUGUGCCUGGGCAGAGCCUCCGGCUGCAGGGUUCAUCCCUGCCCUUCGCUUGGGCAUAAAAACAAUCCAGAGCCAUUUCCUGGGAGGCAUUUUGGGCACAACCAGAUGUGCUGGCAUUAUGGAAAUGGGGGAAGAUCUGGGAUGGGGCUGAGGAUGGCUCUGUCCCGACCCAGCAGACACUCCCAACUCCCUGUGCUGAACUGGGAAAAGCAGGACAAAGCACUGGUGACACUCCUGCCAGGCGUGGCUGCCGGGGGUAGCGGCAUCCCCCUGUCCUGCUGAAGGCUCCCCUUCCCCUGGGCUGCCAGCGAGGGGCAGGAAAAGCAGAGGAAUCCCUGGCGCAGAGGCUGCUGAGGCAGGAAAUCCCGGCAGCCUCUCCCCGAGCCUGGCAGCGCUGGAAUCGCAGAGCCCCCGCAGCCGGCAGAGAUAAGGGCAGCAGCAGGAAACGUGCACCUCUGCCGGGGCAGCCAGGAAAGGAAGCGAUUCCCGCAGAUGGGAGCCAUGGAGCACGCAGCAGAGGCUGGCAGGAUGCACCAGGGCCCUUUGGAGCUUUGGGAUGUUUGGAGGGAAGCAGGGCUGGGAUGAGAGCAGGGAUUGAGGCGGGCUCGGUCAGCAGCGCUGCCAGCUGGGUUAGUGGGUCACUGUCACAAAGCCCUUGGAGCAUUUCUGCCCCUGGAUGUCGGAAACCAGUCCUGCUCAGGGUCAGGAGAUUUGGCAGGAAGGGCCACAAAGCCGUGCCUUGAGCAUCCCGGUGGUUCCUGCAGGAAAGGGCUCUGGCAGGGGAGGGCUGUGCACCCCUGAGCUCCCUGGAUCAGCACCAAGAAGUGUUUUGGCCUCAUGUCCCAAGAAAAACAGAUGUCUCUGGGGAUCCCCCUCAUGGAAUCGUGGAAUUGUUUAGGUUGGAAACAAGAUCAUGGAGUCCAACCAUUCCAGCAGCACUGCCAAGGCCACCAUGUCCCCAAGUGCCACAUCCACACAGCUUUUAAUCCACCACCUGGGCCUUUCCAUGAAGAAUUUUUCCUAAUAUCCAUCUAAACCUCUUCUGGAGCAACUUCAGGCUGUUUCCUCUUGCUCUGUCACUUGUUCCCUGGGAGCAGAGCCCAAUCCCCUCCUGGCUGUCCCCUCCCUUCAUGGAAUGAUAGAAAGAAAACUCCUCCGUCAUUAAUAACUGGAAUUUGCAGGAUGAUACCAGCCAAAAGUGACAGCAGCAUUUCUGAGGCUCUGUAAAACCAGGCAGAAUAAAGCCAGGCCCCAUGAUCUGCCCCUGGCCCAGGAAAGGGGGCACAGCCGUGGGUUUGAGCUCAGCCUUUGGAGCCAUCUGAGAACCCCCAGCAGCAGGGACCAGCUCUGAGCUGUGCCAAGGACAAAGGGGCCCUCUCUGGGUGGCUGUGCCCCUCCUGUGGGGUGGCUCUGUAUCCCUUCAGGCCAUCCUGAGGGAUUGCUCCUGCUGGCUCCCUCUCCCUGUUUCCCUUCCCCAUCCUGAGGGAGCUGACAGCAGGGCAGGUGUCCCCCAGCACAGCACCCAGCUCUCCACAUCUCCAUUUUUGGGAACACUUCUCAUUAAUUUUGCUCUCAAUUCCUUGACUCAGCGAAGCCUCAUGACUCAGCACCUUCUCGCCCUGGCCCACUGCAGGGACACACUUCCCCAUGGAUCCAGGGAUGAGCCCACUUCCCAGUGGAUCCAGGGAUGAGCCCACUUCCCAGUGGAUCCAGGACUGGCUGAGGUGCAUCCUCAGGGACAUCCAUCCCUGCUGCAGGAUUAACCUGCUGAGUCCCCCCAGCUGGAAGGUGGAGCUCAGAUCUCCCAGCAUCCCGGGGAGAUGAAGACUCACAGGAUGAAAACUCCGCUCCCACAUGGAAAAACUUUCAGAGACAUCUGAGCCCCAGCCCAAAGGAAUGCUCCAGGUUUUACAAAUUAUUUUAAGACACAAAGCUUCUCCCGGCGGAUCCGCUCCCGGCCGCAUUUCCCCGGCCGCCCCAGCCUUUGUCCCGCGGAGCCCCCCGGAGCUGGUGAAGGGGUUGUUCCCCCCCGACACGUGUCCCCUGCAUCCUCUGUGACCAAAAUCCAGCGGCGCCGAGGUCAGCGGGACCCGCGGGAGAGAGGAUUUGUUCUUUAAAUUGAACGCGGAUGCGGCCCCGGCGGCGUUUCAGGCUAAAAGGGAUUUCAGGGCUGAGCGAUCCGGCUAAAUGGGGACAGAGGGCUUGGGGUGGCUGGAAAUUCAAUGGGAAUAGCGGCACACAUGGGCUGCACAUUUGGGAGCUGCCUGCCCCGCCCAGCCCCGCUCCUGUGCGUCCACAGGGGAGGGACACACGGACACGCAGAGGGAGGGAAACCCUCACAUGUGUGGGGUUCACAACCUUUCCAUGCCUAAAGCAAUGAGCCAGCCCGUUUGGAUUGAGUUAUUCUUAUGUUUCCUGAGGUUUUAUUUAUUUCUUUUUUUACUUCAGGAUUCCUCUCCCCAUAAACUGAGCUUCAAAUCUUUUGAGGUUUUUUUUUUUCCCCUGAGAAGGUAGGGGCUGCUCAUGAAGGAAGGAAAAAAGAGAUGGAGGGAAAAAAGGAUGGAGGGAAGGAAGGAUGGAUUUGGAUUGAAAGGAAGAUUAAAAAUCAUCCCAUUCCAAGCCCCUGAGAUGGGCAGGGACACCUUCCACUAUCCCAGGCUGCUCCAAGCCCUGUCCAGCCUGGUCUUGGACACUUCCAGGGAUCCAGGGGCAGCCACAGCUUCUCUGGGCACCCUGUGCCAGGGCCUGCCCACCCUCCCAGCCAGGAAUUCCCAAUUCCCAGUCUCCCAUCCAUCCCUGCCCUCUGGCAGUGGAAGCCAUUCCCUGUGUCCUGUCCCUCCAGCCCUUGUCCCCAGUCCCUCUCCAGCUCUCCUGGAGCCCCUUCCGACCCUGCCAGGGGCUCUGAGCUCUCCCUGGAGCCUUCUCCUCUCCAGGUGAGCACCCCCAGCUCUCCCAGCCUGGCUCCAGAGCAGAGGGGCUCCAGCCCUUGGAGCAGCUCCGGGGCCUCUCUGGACUCGUUCCAGCAGCUCCACGUCCUCCUGAUGUUGGAGGCAGCACUUGGGGGGAUCGGCCGGGUAGCGCUGGGCACCGCUGCCGGGCUGGAGGGGAGGAAGAGGAGCGGGGCCGGUCCCGGCGAUCCCGAUGAUCCCGGUCGAUCCCGAUGAUCCCGGCUGAUCCCGGUCGCUGCCGCCGCCUGCCGCCCACACCGGGACAUGCAGCGCGCACCGACGGGACACACGCAGCCACGGACAGAC